Molecule: ribosomal RNA, 274 nt
Filed under: uncultured bacterium
Lineage: Bacteria
Description: partial 16S ribosomal RNA
Rfam family: Bacterial small subunit ribosomal RNA
Source: RNAcentral
CUACGGAGGGUGCGAGCGUUAAUCGGAAUUACUGGGCGUAAAGCGUACGUAGGCGGUUGGUUAAGUUAGAUGUGAAAGCCCCGGGCUUAACCUGGGAACUGCAUUUAAAACUGGCGAACUAGAGUUGAGUAGAGGGGAGUGGAAUUUCAGGUGUAGCGGUGAAAUGCGUAGAGAUCUGAAGGAACACCAGUGGCGAAGGCGACUCCCUGGACUCGAACUGACGCUGAGGUACGAAAGCGUGGGUAGCAAACGGGAGUAGAUACCCCAGUAGUCC